This 117-nucleotide ribosomal RNA is filed under the name uncultured bacterium. Its description in RNAcentral is "partial 16S ribosomal RNA". It matches the Rfam family "Bacterial small subunit ribosomal RNA", at positions 1357 to 1482 of the family's 1533-position model. The record is from RNAcentral.
CUACGGUGAAUACGUUCCCGGACCGUGUACACACCGCCCGUCAAGCCAUGGAAGCUGGGUGUACCUAAAGUCGGUAACCGUAAGGAGCCGCCUAGGGUAAAACUAGUAACUGGGGCU